CGGUGACGAGGAGCUUGCUCCUCUGAUCAGUGGCGAACGGGUGAGUAACACGUGAGCAACCUGCCCCAGACUCUGGGAUAACAGUUGGAAACAGCUGCUAAUACCGGAUACGAGACGGAGAGGCAUCUCUACCGUCUGGAAAGUUUUUCGGUCUGGGAUGGACUCGCGGCCUAUCAGCUAGUUGGUGAGGCAAUGGCUCACCAAGGCGACGACGGGUAGCCGGCCUGAGAGGGCGACCGGCCACACUGGGACUGAGACACGGCCCAGACUCCUACGGGAGGCAGCAGUGGGGAAUAUUGCACAAUGGGCGAAAGCCUGAUGCAGCGACGCCGCGUGAGGGAUGAAGGCCUUCGGGUUGUAAACCUCUUUCAGCAGGGAAGAAGCGAAAGUGACGGUACCUGCAGAAGAAGCACCGGCUAACUACGUGCCAGCAGCCGCGGUAAUACGUAAGGUGCGAGCGUUGUCCGGAAUUAUUGGGCGUAAAGAGCUUGUAAGCGGUUUGUCGCGUCUGCAGUGAAAAUCCGGGGCUCAACCCCCGGACUUGCUGUGGGUUACCGGCAGACUAUAGUAUGGUAGGGGAGACCGGAAUUCCUGGUGUAG
RNAcentral lists this ribosomal RNA (600 nucleotides) under uncultured bacterium. RNAcentral describes it as "bacterial SSU rRNA". It matches the Rfam family "Bacterial small subunit ribosomal RNA", at positions 67 to 678 of the family's 1533-position model. The record is from RNAcentral.